Molecule: ribosomal RNA, 1550 nt
Filed under: Klebsiella pneumoniae
Lineage: Bacteria; Pseudomonadati; Pseudomonadota; Gammaproteobacteria; Enterobacterales; Enterobacteriaceae
Description: bacterial SSU rRNA
Rfam family: Bacterial small subunit ribosomal RNA
Source: RNAcentral
AAAUUGAAGAGUUUGAUCAUGGCUCAGAUUGAACGCUGGCGGCAGGCCUAACACAUGCAAGUCGAGCGGUAGCACAGAGAGCUUGCUCUCGGGUGACGAGCGGCGGACGGGUGAGUAAUGUCUGGGAAACUGCCUGAUGGAGGGGGAUAACUACUGGAAACGGUAGCUAAUACCGCAUAAUGUCGCAAGACCAAAGUGGGGGACCUUCGGGCCUCAUGCCAUCAGAUGUGCCCAGAUGGGAUUAGCUAGUAGGUGGGGUAACGGCUCACCUAGGCGACGAUCCCUAGCUGGUCUGAGAGGAUGACCAGCCACACUGGAACUGAGACACGGUCCAGACUCCUACGGGAGGCAGCAGUGGGGAAUAUUGCACAAUGGGCGCAAGCCUGAUGCAGCCAUGCCGCGUGUGUGAAGAAGGCCUUCGGGUUGUAAAGCACUUUCAGCGGGGAGGAAGGCGUUAAGGUUAAUAACCUUGGCGAUUGACGUUACCCGCAGAAGAAGCACCGGCUAACUCCGUGCCAGCAGCCGCGGUAAUACGGAGGGUGCAAGCGUUAAUCGGAAUUACUGGGCGUAAAGCGCACGCAGGCGGUCUGUCAAGUCGGAUGUGAAAUCCCCGGGCUCAACCUGGGAACUGCAUUCGAAACUGGCAGGCUAGAGUCUUGUAGAGGGGGGUAGAAUUCCAGGUGUAGCGGUGAAAUGCGUAGAGAUCUGGAGGAAUACCGGUGGCGAAGGCGGCCCCCUGGACAAAAACUGACGCUCAGGUGCGAAAGCGUGGGGAGCAAACAGGAUUAGAUACCCUGGUAGUCCACGCCGUAAACGAUGUCGAUUUGGAGGUUGUGCCCUUGAGGCGUGGCUUCCGGAGCUAACGCGUUAAAUCGACCGCCUGGGGAGUACGGCCGCAAGGUUAAAACUCAAAUGAAUUGACGGGGGCCCGCACAAGCGGUGGAGCAUGUGGUUUAAUUCGAUGCAACGCGAAGAACCUUACCUGGUCUUGACAUCCACAGAACUUUCCAGAGAUGGAUUGGUGCCUUCGGGAACUGUGAGACAGGUGCUGCAUGGCUGUCGUCAGCUCGUGUUGUGAAAUGUUGGGUUAAGUCCCGCAACGAGCGCAACCCUUAUCCUUUGUUGCCAGCGGUCCGGCCGGGAACUCAAAGGAGACUGCCAGUGAUAAACUGGAGGAAGGUGGGGAUGACGUCAAGUCAUCAUGGCCCUUACGACCAGGGCUACACACGUGCUACAAUGGCAUAUACAAAGAGAAGCGACCUCGCGAGAGCAAGCGGACCUCAUAAAGUAUGUCGUAGUCCGGAUUGGAGUCUGCAACUCGACUCCAUGAAGUCGGAAUCGCUAGUAAUCGUAGAUCAGAAUGCUACGGUGAAUACGUUCCCGGGCCUUGUACACACCGCCCGUCACACCAUGGGAGUGGGUUGCAAAAGAAGUAGGUAGCUUAACCUUCGGGAGGGCGCUUACCACUUUGUGAUUCAUGACUGGGGUGAAGUCGUAACAAGGUAACCGUAGGGGAACCUGCGGUUGGAUCACCUCCUUACCUUAAAGAA